UUUUUUUCUUCUUUUUCUUCUCUGUCGAUCUCAAUUCGAAGAAUUGAGUUUGUUUUCGAUUGAUAAAUUCUUAGGACCGUUUUAGUAAGAUGAAUCAGAUGUAAAGAAGUUGGAUUUUGUGGUUGAAUUAGAUCGGGAGAAGGAGUGAUGCUGUUAAAUAGAAUUAGGGUUCUGUUCUUGAGUUGGAAGAGGGAUUAAGAGGAGUUUGGAGUUACUGCUGGAUGAAGUUCGAAUGGGUUGGUAUGUAAUUAAUGUUCUGAAGUUGUUCUUAUGAAGAAUCACAGAACCAGUUGUAGCAGUUGAGAUGGAAGGGAUUAAGGCUUGAAGAUGCAGGGUUUUUUUAAUAUUAGAGUUUAGAUGUUUCAGUUAGGGGAUGUAUGAACUUGUAUAGGUGAAAAGAAAGGGAAAUUAGAGGUUAUGUUGUUGAACUGGUGGAGGUGCAGAUGUAUUGUUAGAUGUUACUGCAAGAGUGGAAGAUGUGUUGAAGAUCUGGAUGAGUUAGAGGAUUAAUUAUAGGUAGUUACAGGUUAUAGAGGUGGUGUUGUAAUUGCAAAUGGUUUAGAGUUAGCCUGGAAUUGUUAGUUGUGAUGCUGUGUUGUUAGUUGUGCUGGGUUGAACUGCUGGUGGAUAUGGAAAAGAUAUUACAGGUGAUUGUGUUGUCAUUGUUGAGCUGAGUUGUGCUGGUAGCAAUAUUGCAGGUGUUAUGUUGAAGCUGGGAUUGUGGAAGUAGACUGUUAGGUUGUUCUUGACUUAAGCUGAAGUUGCAGAUUGAUGCAGUUAAGAAUGUAGUUGAUUAUAAGAUGAAUGUUUAGGUUCUUGCAAGGGGAUUGAAUCUUGCUAGUGGACUGAGGCUGUGAUAUUGCAGAUGUAAAUGCAGUUGCAGAGUUAGGUUGUGUAGCUUCAGAUGAUGUUAGGGAACACUGACUGUAUGUUUGAGAUGGUGGAAUUUAGAUGGUAAUGCUAAUAAGAUAAAUGGAUUGAUGGGGGUUCUGAGAAUUGUUGUGACAGAGUUUGCAAACAAGAAUUAGUAUGGGUUACAAAGUGAACUGUGGAUUGGCUUAAGCUAAUGAAACUGUAUGAGAAUCAAGAUUAGAAAUAUGGAUUGUAUUUUGGUUAAGCUGUAGGUUUGCAAUUAGAAUUAGAAAUGCAUCAUGUUAGUCUUGGCAUGAGUUGUGUUGCUUCUUGUUUGUGCUUUAAAAGUUUGGCCAGUGCAAGGGCCUUGAUUUGUUUAAUUUGAAUCAGUCUUGUUGA
This is a long non-coding RNA of Papaver somniferum (opium poppy), 1251 nucleotides long. RefSeq lists it as uncharacterized. The record is from RefSeq and is a predicted model, not a curated record. The transcript is spliced from 2 exons. Lineage: Eukaryota; Viridiplantae; Streptophyta; Magnoliopsida; Ranunculales; Papaveraceae.